This is a non-coding RNA of Phalacrocorax carbo (great cormorant), 811 nucleotides long. NCBI's taxonomy places the organism in Eukaryota, Metazoa, Chordata, Aves, Suliformes, Phalacrocoracidae. The record is from RefSeq and is a predicted model, not a curated record.
CGAGCGGGGCCCGGCGGCGGGCGGAGGGGGCGGGGGCGGCGGGGGAAAGGGAGCGGGGCCGCGGGGGGCGGGCGCACCGGGCCGGGAGCGGCGGGGGGCGCGGGGAGCCGCGCCUGGAAGAGCACAUUGUGGAGGGCCGGGGAGGGCCCUUCCUCCGGGAGGAAGAGACAAUGUCCAGGGCUGGGCGCCUGCUGGAGAGCCGGGAGAAUGCACGGCCGGCGGCACGGCUCGGUACGGCUCGAUGAUUCUCCCUAUCACACCAUGGGAGCAGAAGACCCCACUCUGCCAGCAGCAGCAUCGCUCAGCGCUGCAGCCUCUGUCUGAACGUUGGAUCUGGCUGUUGUUAAAUCAGCAGCUCUUCAGGGCAACUCCUUGACAGCAACGCUGCCCACCGAGCGCAGCCAUGCCUCCAGCACUGCCCUGCGAAGGGCACUGUGCCACCAGGUCCCUGAGAUGGCUGGGGAUGCUGUGACCUGGCUCUAGGCUGGGGAUGCUGCAAGCUGGCUCUGGGCAGGCAGCAUGGGGUGCCCUGGCAUCUCCCAGGCAGGGCCCUGACGACAGCGGGUCAGUGACCUCCUGCCUGGUUGGGGCCCGUGGCAAUGGGCACCAGCAUCUCGGCAUCCCUCUCCCCAGCCCAUUUUAUGUCUCUCACUCUUUAGUGGUUACGAAGGAAAUUUUGAUUAAAUAAACCAAGUGUAACGGAUUCAGUGGCGGAGCCUGCGGUAGGCCGGUGCCAGAGCCGAGGAUGGGAACUGCCACAUUCAUGUUUAUGGCUUGUUAGUGCGGAUGCCCAAUUAUGUUUUCUACUCCA